This 868-nucleotide ribosomal RNA is filed under the name uncultured archaeon. RNAcentral describes it as "bacterial SSU rRNA". It matches the Rfam family "Archaeal small subunit ribosomal RNA", at positions 1 to 873 of the family's 1478-position model. The record is from RNAcentral.
UUUUCCGGUUGAUCCUGCCAGCGGUCAUUGCUAUCCGGAUACGACUAAGCUAUGCGAGCCGAGAGGGGUAAGCCCUCGGCGCACUGCUCCGCAAUACGCAGAUAACCUAACCUUGAGAGGGGAAUACCCUCGGGAAACUGAGCUCAAUACCCCAUAGGCACUUGGUGCUGGAAUGCUCUUGUGUCAGAAGCUCCGGCGCUCAAGGAUGGGUCUGCGGCCUAUCAGGCUGUUGUUGGUGUAAUGAACCAACAAACCGAUAACGGGUACGGGCUAUGUAAGUAGAAGCCCGGAGAUGGAUUCUGAGACAUGAAUCCAGGCACUACGGUGUGCAGCAAGCGCGAAACCUUUACAAUGCAUUCACGUGCGAUAAGGGAAUCUGGAGUGCUUCAGUUUUACUGAAGCUUUUGCUUACUGUAAAUAGGUAGGCGAAUAAGGGCUGGGUAAUACGGGUGCCAGCCGCCGCGGUAAUACCCGAGGCCCAAGUGAUGGCCACUUUUAUUGGGUCUAAAGCGUCCGUAGCCUGUCUUGUAAGUUCCUGGUGAAAUCUUCCAGCAAACUGGAAGGCGUGCUGGGAAUACUGCAACGGCUUGAGACCAGGAGAGGCAAGAGGUACUUAUGGGGUAGGGGUUAAAUCCUAUAAUCCCAUAGGGACCACCUGUGGCGAAGGCGUCUUGCUGGAAUGGGUCUGACGGUGAGGGACGAAAGCGUGAGUAGCGAUCGGGAUUAGAUACCCCGGUAGUCCACGCUGUAAACGAUGCCCGUUUGGUAUAGCAGACUUCUUGGGAGUUUGCCGUGCCGUAGCGUAGGUGUUAAACGGGCCACCUGGGGAGUACGUCCGCAAGGAUGAAACUUAAAGGAAUUGGCGGGA